AUGCAAGUCGAACGCUGAAGCUCCAGCUUGCUGGGGUGGAUGAGUGGCGAACGGGUGAGUAAUACGUGAGUAACCUGCCCUUGACUCUGGGAUAAGCCCGGGAAACUGGGUCUAAUACUGGAUGCUACAUGUCACCGCAUGGUGGUGUGUGGAAAGGGUUUUACUGGUCUUGGAUGGGCUCACGGCCUAUCAGCUUGUUGGUGAGGUAAUGGCUCACCAAGGCGACGACGGGUAGCCGGCCUGAGAGGGUGACCGGCCACACUGGGACUGAGACACGGCCCAGACUCCUACGGGAGGCAGCAGUGGGGAAUAUUGCACAAUGGGCGGAAGCCUGAUGCAGCGACGCCGCGUGAGGGAUGACGGCCUUCGGGUUGUAAACCUCUUUCAGCAGGGAAGAAGCCACAAGUGACGGUACCUGCAGAAGAAGCGCCGGCUAACUACGUGCCAGCAGCCGCGGUAAUACGUAGGGCGCAAGCGUUGUCCGGAAUUAUUGGGCGUAAAGAGCUCGUAGGCGGUCUGUCGCGUCUGCUGUGAAAGCCCGGGGCUUAACCCCGGGUGUGCAGUGGGUACGGGCAGACUAGAGUGCAGUAGGGGAGACUGGAAUUCCUGGUGUAGCGGUGGAAUGCGCAGAUAUCAGGAGGAACACCGAUGGCGAAGGCAGGUCUCUGGGCUGUUACUGACGCUGAGGAGCGAAAGCAUGGGGAGCGAACAGGAUUAGAUACCCUGGUAGUCCAUGCCGUAAACGUUGGGCACUAGGUGUGGGGGACAUUCCACGUCUUCCGCGCCGUAGCUAACGCAUUAAGUGCCCCGCCUGGGGAGUACGGCCGCAAGGCUAAAACUCAAAGGAAUUGACGGGGGCCCGCACAAGCGGCGGAGCAUGCGGAUUAAUUCGAUGCAACGCGAAGAACCUUACCAAGGCUUGACAUAUACCGGAUCGUUCC
Molecule: ribosomal RNA, 941 nt
Filed under: Kocuria sp.
Lineage: Bacteria; Bacillati; Actinomycetota; Actinomycetes; Micrococcales; Micrococcaceae
Description: bacterial SSU rRNA
Rfam family: Bacterial small subunit ribosomal RNA
Source: RNAcentral